AGUGAACGCUGGCGGUAGGCCUAACACAUGCAAGUCGAACGGCAGCACAGUAAGAGCUUGCUCUUACGGGUGGCGAGUGGCGGACGGGUGAGGAAUACAUCGGAAUCUACUUUUUCGUGGGGGAUAACGUAGGGAAACUUACGCUAAUACCGCAUACGACCUACGGGUGAAAGCAGGGGAUCUUCGGACCUUGCGCGAUUGAAUGAGCCGAUGUCGGAUUAGCUAGUUGGCGGGGGAAAGGCCCACCAAGUCGACGAUCCGUAGCUGGUCUGAGAGGAUGACCAGCCACACUGGAACUGAGACACGGUCCUGACUCCUACGGGAGGCCGCAGUGGGGAAUGUUGGACAAUGGGCGCAAGCCUGAUCCAGCCAUACCGAGUGGGUGAAGAAGGCCUUCGGGUUGUAAAGCCCUUUUGUUGGGAAAGAAAAGCAGCAGGUUAAUACCCCGCUGUUCUGACGGUACCCAAAGAAUAAGCACCGGCUAACUUCGUG
This 492-nucleotide ribosomal RNA is filed under the name uncultured bacterium. Its description in RNAcentral is "partial 16S ribosomal RNA". It matches the Rfam family "Bacterial small subunit ribosomal RNA", at positions 29 to 507 of the family's 1533-position model. The record is from RNAcentral.